Molecule: ribosomal RNA, 403 nt
Filed under: uncultured bacterium
Lineage: Bacteria
Description: partial 16S ribosomal RNA
Rfam family: Bacterial small subunit ribosomal RNA
Source: RNAcentral
AUUGAACGCUGGCGGCAGGCCUAACACAUGCAAGUCGAGCGAGCGGCGGACGGGUGAGUAAUGUAUGGGGACUGCCCGAUAGAGGGGGAUAACUACUGGAAACGGUGGCUAAUACCGCAUACUAUCGUAUGACCCAUAGGGGAUUAGCUAGUAGGUGGGGUAAAGGCUCACCAAGGCGAAGAUCUCUCGCUGGUCUGAGAGGAUGACCCGCCACACUGGGACUGAGACACGGCCCAGACUCCUACGGAGGGAGCAGGGGGGAAUAUUGCACAAUGGGCGAAAGCCUGAUGCAGCAAUCCCGCGUGUAUGAAGAAGGCCUUAGGGUUGUAAAGUACUUUCAGCGGGGAGGCGUUACCCGCAGAAUAAGCACCGGCUAACUCCGUGCCAGCCGCCGCGGUAAUAC